CACGUAGGGCGCAAGCGUUGUCCGGAAUUAUUGGGCGUAAAGAGCGUGUAGGCGGCUAUUUAAGUCCUGCGUGAAAUCCUGCGGCUCAACCGCAGACGGUCGUGGGAAACUGGAUGGCUAGAGUGCGGGAGAGGAGAGUGGAAUUCCCGGUGUAGAGGUGAAAUUCGUAGAUAUCGGGAGGAACACCAGUGGCGAAGGCGGCGAUCUGGGAAGAUACUGACGCUGAGGUGCGAAAGCGUGGGGAGCAAACAGG
This 253-nucleotide ribosomal RNA is filed under the name uncultured bacterium. RNAcentral's name for it is "partial 16S ribosomal RNA". It matches the Rfam family "Bacterial small subunit ribosomal RNA", at positions 524 to 776 of the family's 1533-position model. The record is from RNAcentral.